Vicia faba (fava bean) is the source of this 201-nucleotide non-coding RNA. NCBI's taxonomy places the organism in Eukaryota, Viridiplantae, Streptophyta, Magnoliopsida, Fabales, Fabaceae. The record is from the annotation of a GenBank genome assembly.
AUGAAGAAGAACGGUGAUUCUGGCGCGACUGAGGAGCUUCGGUCAGGGAUUCCGGUCGAGUUCUGGCCAAGAGGCUCAGAUGAGAGAAAAGUUUUGAGGAGCGAAGAUGACACCGUGGCUACUCACAAGGAUUUGGAAGAUGCACUAUUGAAGAAUGUUGGAGCUUAUCAUGAAACAAAGAUUGAUUCAAGAAGCUUUUAG